CUACGGGUUGCAGCAGUGGGGAAUAUUGGACAAUGGGCGCAAGCCUGAUCCAGCAAUGCCGCGUGAGUGAAGACGGCCUUAGGGUUGUAAAACUCUUUCGCUAGGGAAGAUAAUGACUGUACCUAGUAAAGAAGUCCCGGCUAACUCCGUGGCCAGCAGCCGCGGUAAUACGGAGGGGACUAGCGUUGUUCGGAAUUACUGGGCGUAAAGAGUUCGUAGGCGGACUGACAAGUUAGAGGUGAAAUCCCAGGGCUCAACCCUGGAACUGCCUUUAAAACUGUCAGUCUAGAGACCGGAAGAGGUUAGGGGAAUACCUAGUGUAGAGGUGAAAUUCGUAGAUAUUAGGUGGAACACCAGUGGCGAAGGCGCCUAACUGGUCCGGUACUGACGCUGAGGAACGAAAGCGUGUGGAGCAAACAGGAUUAGAUACCCUAGUAGUC
This 440-nucleotide ribosomal RNA is filed under the name uncultured bacterium. RNAcentral's name for it is "partial 16S ribosomal RNA". It matches the Rfam family "Bacterial small subunit ribosomal RNA", at positions 339 to 795 of the family's 1533-position model. The record is from RNAcentral.